UACGUAGGGUGCGAGCGUUGUCCGGAAUUAUUGGGCGUAAAGGGCUCGUAGGCGGUCUGUCGCGUCGAACGUGAAAACCCAGGGCUUAACCCUGGGCCUGCUUCCGAUACGGGCAGACUAGAGGUAUGCAGAGGAGAACGGAAUUCCUGGUGUAGCGGUGAAAUGCGCAGAUAUCAGGAGGAACACCGGUGGCGAAGGCGGUUCUCUGGGCAUUACCUGACGCUGAGGAGCGAAAGUGUGGGGAGCGAACAGG
Molecule: ribosomal RNA, 253 nt
Filed under: uncultured bacterium
Lineage: Bacteria
Description: partial 16S ribosomal RNA
Rfam family: Bacterial small subunit ribosomal RNA
Source: RNAcentral